Molecule: transfer RNA, 76 nt
Filed under: Candidatus Aalborgicola bjergmarkensis
Lineage: Bacteria; Pseudomonadati; Pseudomonadota; Betaproteobacteria; Burkholderiales; Comamonadaceae
Description: tRNA-Asp
Rfam family: tRNA
About the family: Transfer RNA (tRNA) molecules are approximately 80 nucleotides in length.
Source: RNAcentral
GCGGUAUUAACUCAGUGACCAGAGUGCGCCCCUGUCUAGGGUGAAGUCGGGGGUUUGAAUCCCCUAUACCGCGCCA